AAACCACCUCCCAACAUUACAAACGGGGUGACGAAACCCUAAUCAGAUCGAGCGAAGAAUAGAACGCCGGAGAAAAUGUCGCACUUCGGGAGAACUGGCCCGCCGGACAUCGCUGAUACUUACUCUCUCCUCGUACUCAACAUCACUUUCCGUACCUCGGCGGAUGAUCUCUUUCCUCUUUUCGACAAGUAUGGGAAGGUUGUGGAUAUCUUCAUUCCCCGGGACAGAAGGACCGGUGAGUCACGUGGGUUUGCGUUUGUUCGUUACAAGUAUGCAGAGGAAGCACAAAAGGCUGUAGAUAGGCUUGAUGGAAGAGUGGUUGAUGGACGGGAAAUGGCUGUUCAAUUCGCCAAAUAUGGGCCAAAUGCAGAACGAAUUCACCAAGGGAGGAUCAUUGAGAAAGUUCCUGGCUUCAAGGGAAGCUCAAGAAGCAGAAGCCCUCGUAGAAGAUACCGUGAUGACUAUCAUAGAGAUAGAGAAUACAGGAGAAGUAGGAGCAGAAGUGUUGAUCGCUAUGAGCGUGAUAGGUAUCGGCAGAGAGAGCGGGACUAUCGCCAUCGGUCCAGGAGCCGCAGCUUAAGUCCAGACUAUGAUCG
This 596-nucleotide unclassified non-coding RNA is filed under the name Hevea brasiliensis (rubber tree). The record is from RNAcentral. Lineage: Eukaryota; Viridiplantae; Streptophyta; Magnoliopsida; Malpighiales; Euphorbiaceae.